This 454-nucleotide ribosomal RNA is filed under the name uncultured Porphyromonadaceae bacterium. RNAcentral's name for it is "partial 16S ribosomal RNA". It matches the Rfam family "Bacterial small subunit ribosomal RNA", at positions 341 to 792 of the family's 1533-position model. Lineage: Bacteria; Pseudomonadati; Bacteroidota; Bacteroidia; Bacteroidales; Porphyromonadaceae. The record is from RNAcentral.
ACGGAAGGCAGCAGUGAGGAAUAUUGGUCAAUGGUCGGAAGACUGAACCAGCCAAGUCGCGUGCAGGAAGACGGUCCUAUGGAUUGUAAACUGCUUUUGUACGGGAAUAAAGUGGGGGACGUGUCCCCUUUGGAAUGUACCGUAAGAAUAAGGGUCGGUUAACCCCGUGCCAGCAGCCGCGGUAAUACGGAUGCCCCGAGCGUUAUCCGGAUUUAUUGGGUUUAAAGGGUGCGCAGGCGGAGGAUUAAGUCAGCGGUGCAAUUCUCAGGCUGAACAUGAGAACUGCCAUUGAUACUGGUCCCCUUGAGAGAUGUCGAGGAUGGCGGAAUGUGAUGUGUAGCGGUGAAAUGCUUAGAUAUGUCGAAGAACACCGAUUGCGAAGGCAGCUGUCCAGAGAUCAUCUGACGCUCAGGCACGAAAGCAUGGGUAGCAAACAGGAUUAGAUACCCUGGUA